RNAcentral lists this unclassified non-coding RNA (234 nucleotides) under air metagenome. RNAcentral's name for it is "partial contains small subunit ribosomal RNA, internal transcribed spacer 1, and 5.8S ribosomal RNA". The stretch from base 1 to 46 matches the Rfam family "Eukaryotic small subunit ribosomal RNA", at positions 1786 to 1831 of the family's 1831-position model. The record is from RNAcentral.
AAGUCGUAACAAGGUUUCCGUAGGUGAACCUGCGGAAGGAUCAUUACAGAGUUCAUGCCCUAACGGGUAGAUCUCCCACCCUUGAAAUUCGUACCUUUGUUGCUUUGGUGGGCCGCGGCCUUCGCUACCGGCUCCGGCUGGUAUGUGCCCGCCAGAGGACCCAACUCUUGUUUUUAGUGAUGUCUGAGUACUAUAUAAUAGUUAAAACUUUCAACAACGGAUCUCUUGGUUCUG